ACAGAGGUGGCAAGCGUUGUUCGGAAUUAUUGGGCGUAAAGAGCACGUAGGCGGCCAUGCAAGUCAGCUGUGAAUGCCUUCUGCUCAACGGAAGAACGGCAGUUGAUACUACAUGGCUGGAGUGCGGGAGGGGAGAGUGGAACUUCUGGUGGAGCGGUGAAGUGCGUAGAUAUCAGAAGGAACGUCGGCGGCGAAAGCGACUCUCUAGACCGUAACUGACGCUGAGUGUGCGAAAGCUAGGGGAGCAAACGG
This 252-nucleotide ribosomal RNA is filed under the name uncultured prokaryote. RNAcentral describes it as "partial 16S ribosomal RNA". It matches the Rfam family "Bacterial small subunit ribosomal RNA", at positions 525 to 775 of the family's 1533-position model. The record is from RNAcentral.